RNAcentral lists this ribosomal RNA (468 nucleotides) under uncultured bacterium. RNAcentral describes it as "partial 16S ribosomal RNA". It matches the Rfam family "Bacterial small subunit ribosomal RNA", at positions 28 to 507 of the family's 1533-position model. The record is from RNAcentral.
GACGAACGCUGGCGGCGUGCUUAACACAUGCAAGUCGAACGGAAAGGCCCUGCUUUUGUGGGGUGCUCGAGUGGCGAACGGGUGAGUAACACGUGAGUAACCUGCCCUUGACUUUGGGAUAACUUCAGGAAACUGGGGCUAAUACCGGAUAGGAGCUCCUGCUGCAUGGUGGGGGUUGGAAAGUUUCGGCGGUUGGGGAUGGACUCGCGGCUUAUCAGCUUGUUGGUGGGGUAGUGGCUUACCAAGGCUUUGACGGGUAGCCGGCCUGAGAGGGUGACCGGCCACAUUGGGACUGAGGUACGGCCCAGACGCCUACGUGAGGCAGCAGUGGGGAAUCUGGCACAGUGGGCCGAAGCCUGAUGCAGCAGCGCCGCGUGCGUGAUGCCCGCCUUCGGGUUAUAAACCGCUUUCGCCUGUGACGCAGCGUGAGUGACGGUAAUGGGUAAAGAAGCACCGGCUAACUACGUG